GAUGAAGAACGUAGCGAAAUGCGAUAAGUAAUGUGAAUUGCAGAAUUCAGUGAAUCAUCGAAUGUUUGAACGCACAUUGCGUCCGCCAGUAUUCUGGCGGGCAUGCCUGUCUGAGCGUCAUUUCAACCCUCAUGCCCCUAGGGCGUGGUGUUGGGGAUCGGCCAAAGCCCGCGAGGGACGGCCGGCCCCUAAAUCUAGUGGCGGACCCGUCGUGGCCUCCUCUGCGAAGUAGUGAUAUUCCGAAUCGGAGAGCGAUGAGCCCCUGCCGUUAAACCCCCAACUUUCCAAGGUUGACCUCAGAUCAGGUAGGAAUACCCGCUGAACUUAAGCAUAUCAAUAAGCGGAGGA
Molecule: unclassified non-coding RNA, 348 nt
Filed under: soil metagenome
Description: partial contains 5.8S ribosomal RNA, internal transcribed spacer 2, and large subunit ribosomal RNA
Rfam family: 5.8S ribosomal RNA (bases 1-120)
Source: RNAcentral